Hibiscus syriacus is the source of this 203-nucleotide long non-coding RNA. RefSeq lists it as uncharacterized. The record is from RefSeq and is a predicted model, not a curated record. The transcript is spliced from 3 exons. Lineage: Eukaryota; Viridiplantae; Streptophyta; Magnoliopsida; Malvales; Malvaceae.
UUUGAUUGUUCACAGUCUAUACAGCCAUAAAGAAGUGCUCUUGACAGAGCUUGUAAGUAAUGCGAGUGAUGAUUUAGAUAAGCUUAGAUUCUUGGGUGUGACUGAGCCCUCUCUGCUCGUAGAUUCUGGAGAACUAGAGAUUCGCAUCAAACCUGAUCCAGAUAAUGGGACUGUCACUAUAACAGAUACGGGUAUUGGAAUGA